This 319-nucleotide long non-coding RNA is filed under the name Apteryx rowi (Okarito brown kiwi). RNAcentral describes it as "lncRNA (ENSARWG00000010435.1)". The record is from RNAcentral. Lineage: Eukaryota; Metazoa; Chordata; Aves; Apterygiformes; Apterygidae.
AGACAAGUGGGAGCAGUGGMAGUGCACCUCCAGACACUGCCUCGGGAGGAAGUGGACUCUGGCCAAGCCUCCUGCUGGAGAGCUCACCUACAGGAGAGGAGCGAUGCCUUGCUGCAGAAAGAAUACUGUAGUGAGAAAUUGGAAAACUUUUGAGGUCCUACUUAAGAACAUGAAUGCAGCAAGAACUAGCAGAACCGGGGGAGGCUUGAGUAAGAACCCGGUUCCUGCUCCAAGGACAACUCAGGCAUUUCUGAAGUGUCCUGAUGCAAGUUUUAUAAAUGGUUUCUGCUUCUUUGGCACACUGACCUUUGGAAAAAAG